UAGGGAAUCUUCCGCAAUGGACGAAAGUCUGACGGAGCAACGCCGCGUGAGUGAUGAAGGUUUUCGGAUCGUAAAACUCUGUUGUCAGGGAAGAACAAGUAUCGGAGUAACUGCCGGUACCUUGACGGUACCUGACCAGAAAGCCACGGCUAACUACGUGCCAGCAGCCGCGGUAAUACGUAGGUGGCAAGCGUUGUCCGGAAUUAUUGGGCGUAAAGCGCGCGCAGGCGGUUUCUUAAGUNUGAUGUGAAAGCCCACGGCUCAACCGUGGAGGGUCAUUGGAAACUGGGAAACUUGAGUGCAGAAGAGGAGAGUGGAAUUCCACGUGUAGCGGUGAAAUGCGUAGAGAUGUGGAGGAACACCAGUGGCGAAGGCGACUCUNUGGUCUGUAACUGACGCUGAGGCGCGAAAGCGUGGGUAGCGAACAGGAUUAGAUACCCUGGUAGUCCACGCCGUAAACGAUGAGUGCUAAGUGUUAGAGGGU
This 484-nucleotide ribosomal RNA is filed under the name soil bacterium LU-P1-39. Its description in RNAcentral is "bacterial SSU rRNA". It matches the Rfam family "Bacterial small subunit ribosomal RNA", at positions 355 to 831 of the family's 1533-position model. The record is from RNAcentral.